RNAcentral lists this long non-coding RNA (1638 nucleotides) under Struthio camelus australis. RNAcentral describes it as "lncRNA (ENSSCUG00000007812.1)". The record is from RNAcentral. Lineage: Eukaryota; Metazoa; Chordata; Aves; Struthioniformes; Struthionidae.
UUCCCCUACUUUUUUUGUGCAUAAUAUAUUCUUAAGUAAUAAGAAGCAGCACUGCUGCUACAAUUUAAUGGGAAACACAACUGUUUAUUGAACCAGAUACCCAUUAUUAAUUUAACAACUGAAGAAAAAAGCUCCUGGCAAUCAGCGCAGUAAUUCUGUUUCCCUGAUUACUUAAGGUUUGCCAUUGACUUCACUGGAAGCACAAUCCAACCCUCAGCAGGGAGAAGUGCUGCUUUUUAACACUUGGAAAGAAAGAAAGAACAACUUCCAACCUAAUUCAGUUAUCCUGCUUGCAUAUUCCCCCGGUAUCCUCUGUGGACACGUACAUCUCUCAUGUGGUUUGGUCAUAAAAUUUCAAGUCAAUCGAGUUUCUGAAGGAAGAGAAUUCCACAUUAAGAACACAAGUCUUUCUCUUUGCCCAAGAAAGGCUUUUAAUGCUUGUGUAUUGUCGACUAUAAAAUAUGGAGCAAAAGAGGAGGAACAUUUAAUAUACUGGAGCUGAAACUAAAACCUGGACAAUGAAGCAUGAAAUGAAGUAUGCUUGAUAUCACAGAGAAACAGAAUUAACAAAUAGGUAAGACAGAGAAAGUAUGUUAAAGAACAAUCUUUAUGAAUAGAAGGACACUAGGGUGAUUGUAUCUUGAAGAGGACAAAAUUAAAGAUGGAAAGCAUUUAUGAAGAAACAGGUUACAGCACGUAUAAUCAUCAGAACCCAAAGGUGUAUCAAAAAAAAUCUCUUCUGUCCUCUGACAUAUUUCAAAAGUGAUACAUGACUGGAAUGCAUGAAGAUUAUUGAGUGCUUUAGAGAUGUAGGAAUUUAAAGUAUUAUAAACCAAUUACAAAUUACAUUCAUUAUGCUGUACUGUUUGAUAGCAUCACAUACCUGCAACUUUUGAAGGAAGGAUGCUCUUCUGUUUCCAGUGACAUGUUUUUCUUAAGAGGACACCAAAACAACAAGAGAAACAUAAAGAGAUUCUAUAACCUUGUAAUCACGCAUGUCUUACACAAUGUACUAUUUUCCCUCUUUAAAUGCAGAAAUGCUCAGAAAUAAUAUAUAGUAGAUGCUUCAAAUUAUGUUUUCUGUGACAGAAGUUAAUUCUAAAGUAACUAUUCCCUGAAAGAGAAACAGAGAAAACAUUUUUACAUGUCUAUCAUUUGUCCUUAGAGGACACAAAACAAAUAUGUUUUUUAAAGCUUGACACUGGUAUUAUUCUGUGUGGCCUGCGGCUAUAUGCUUUCUCCAGUUUGUAGAAUUGAAGGGGUAAGAAAACAGCUUUGCAUUAAGAGGAACACAUUGUACAGGUUAAUCAUAAGCAUGCAGAAAUCAAAAUGCUGCCAACAAAAUAAUGGCGUACCAGUGCCAAGGGAGUCACCAGGAUGACUGUGAGGGAAGCUGUGGGACAAUAACAGCGCCUUCGCAUGUGGGGAAGUAUUUCAGGCAUGUGCUUCUAAAUUAAUUAUCGAUGUGGCUGAAACAGAAGUUUUUACUACUGUCGACAAUAGCAAAUACUCGUAAAAAUUUAAUUGGCUAAAAGUUAAUUUCAGUGUUCCUCAAUCAUGAAAUGCAUUAAUUGAGAAGAGAUUUUUUUUUAAGGAUGUUUAAAUUUUAAAAGGAAAUAAAGCAGAAAAGCAGAAUCA